RNAcentral lists this long non-coding RNA (1841 nucleotides) under Olea europaea subsp. europaea. Lineage: Eukaryota; Viridiplantae; Streptophyta; Magnoliopsida; Lamiales; Oleaceae. The record is from RNAcentral.
GGCGUCACAAGGUAAUAACGAUGUGAACAACGAAAGCAACACUAUUGGUACCGGUGUACUAAAUCCUGCAAUGAUCGUUGUUAACCCUAUGGAGACCACGACUGACAUUUCUCCCAUUGACGGGAUAAUUGGAGGCCGGAUUCCUUAUCUUGGAGUGAACCCAACUUUGCCUUCGACUGCGGCCUCGGUAAUCCAGUUUGGCACAAUACCUUUGCUAGUGCCUAGGGCUGCGGCUUUGGCACCUUUGCCAUCGUUUCCGACUCCAUUUUCGGUGAAUUAUGUAAUUCGACCGGAUAAGUUUGCUGGUACUGAUUUUAAGACAUGGCAGAAUAAGAUGAUUUUCUAUCUCACUACGUUGGGCCUUGCACGUUUCCUCACUAAGGAUGCCCCUAUCGUGGCUGAAAACGACACUAAUGUGCAUAGGCGUGCAGCUUGGGAUGCUUGGAAAAAUGCUGAUUUUUUGUGCCGCAACUAUGUCUUGGAUGGCCAACAGAACUCUCUGUAUCACGUAUAUGUGGUAAAGAAGUCUGCUAAGGAGCUCUGGGAGUCCUUAGAAAAGAAAUACAAGACCGAGGAUGCCGGAUCUAAAAAAUUCUUAGCCAGUCAGUGUAUGGACUUCGAAAUGGUUGAUUCAUGUUCAGUGGUGAGCCAAGUGCAGGAGUAUCAAGUGCUUUUGCAAAAAAUGCAUACUGAGAGUUUGGCCAUGUCAGAAUCUCUACAGGUGGCUAUUGCUAUUCACAAGCUACCUCCUCAGUGGAAGGCUUUCAAAAGCUAUUUGCAGUAUAAGAGGAAAUAUAUGUCUUUCGAUGAUUUAAUUAUCAAGCUGCGCAUUGAGAAGGAUAACAAAUGGGCUGAACGUAAGUCAGAGAAUUCUUACUCUGAGAAGGCUAAUGUAUUGGAGUACGGCCAAAGUUCUGGUACUAAGAAAGUUCACUCCUUUAAAGCCAAACAGGAUAACGGAAAUCGAAAAGAUAAAAAAUAGGCUACGAAAGGGUUUUAGUUGAAGCUUGCAGGUAGGGUAGGAAAGAAACCUAAGUUCCAGUUCAAUGGAAAGUGUUUCAAUUGUGACAAAGUUGGGCAUCGAUCAGUAGACUGUCGUCAGCCUCGGAGGGAUAAUAAGCAGCGUCCUCAGGCUAAUAUGGUUGGAAAUGAGAGAGAUCAUCUCUCAGAUGAAAUGUCUGAGCUAAACCUCACGGCGGUGAUUAGUGAGGUUAAUCUGGUGGGGUCUAACCCAAAGGAGUGGUGACUGGACACUGGGGCCACUUGCCAUGUCUGCUCCAACGGAGCAUGUUCACUACUUUUGCACCAGUUACAAAUGGUGAAAAGUUGUUCAUGGGAAACUCUGCAACUUCUGAAGUGCUUGGUAAAGGCAAGGUGAUCCUGAAGAUGACAUCUGGCAAAGAGCUUACUCUGACUAAUGUGCUGUACGUGCCACAGAUUCGCAAGAAUCUGGUCUCUGGGUCUCUUCUGAGCAAGAAUGGGUUCCGCAUGGUCUUUGAGGCGGAUAAGCUGGUGAUUACCAAAAUAGGAGUUUAUGUUGGGAAAGACUAUAUGACUGAUGGCCUGUUUAAAUUGAAUGUAAUUGCUGUAACCCCAACUGUUAUGAGUAAUGAGAAAACUCCUUCUGUUUACUUGCUUGAGUCUCCUAAUCUGUGGCAUGGUAGAUUAGGUCACGUAAAUUACAAUGCUUUACGUAGACUAAGCAAACUAAAUUACUUGCCUAGGUUUCAAAUUGAUUCAAAUCAUAAAUGUGAAACAUGCGUUGAAUCUAAGCUUACUAGGUCUUCGUUUCAUAGUAUUGAAAGAAGUAUCGAGCCAUUGGGACUAGUCCACAGUGAUGU